Cebus imitator (Panamanian white-faced capuchin) is the source of this 712-nucleotide long non-coding RNA. RefSeq lists it as uncharacterized. NCBI's taxonomy places the organism in Eukaryota, Metazoa, Chordata, Mammalia, Primates, Cebidae. The record is from RefSeq and is a predicted model, not a curated record. The transcript is spliced from 2 exons.
CUUUUUCUUCAUAACUUCAUGGCAACAUGACCUACAAUUAUUCAUUUUUCCAGCCUGAGUUUAUCAUUAGUCACCUUAAUUAUGUUCAUUCUGAAGCCAACAGGAGAGCCAAGACCAAAACGUUAUUGUCUCUGCUUUUAUUUUCUUGAUGAAACCUCUGGACUAAGCACACAUCUUCCUUGUUUAUCUCGCUCAGAGGAGUGUGGAGUGCUUCAUCUGGACAUCCAUAGGAAGAAGGAAGACAUGAGGGAACUCUGGAAGAGGAGACAGGCCCCAGAUUUGGGUAGGAAGGGAACAGUUCUGAGGCUGAGGCCAAUCUAACUAUGCACACCAGGAACCUUCCAAUAUUUCUUCAGCAACAGUGUCCCAGCACUUCACUGGUUAACCUUUUAUGGGCACCAUCUGUGGAUUCCACAGCUACUUGUCGAUGGUGAAUAUUGAUCAUCAUCAUUAUCUACUGAGCAGCUACAUAUCCCCAAUACUCCUUGCACGUUGUUCAUUCUUUUCUCAACACUUAGCAUAUUUGCAAUGUAUUUCAUAUCACAGACAAGGAAACUAAACACAGAGACAUUCUAUUUCUUGCCAAACAUCACAAGAGGAUGAACAAUGAAGCUGAUUUGAAACCAGGAUUGUCUGACUCCAACAUCUCUUGUUUUUUUUUUUUUUUUUCACUCUGAUAUGCUGCAAUUAAAAAGCUGUUUCUAAGACAGUA